GCCGACAAGGCUCAAUGCUUAGAGCGUUGGACUUCUGAUCAACGGGUUGUGGGUUCGAUCCUCUGGUGGUG
Molecule: transfer RNA, 71 nt
Filed under: Schistocephalus solidus
Lineage: Eukaryota; Metazoa; Platyhelminthes; Cestoda; Diphyllobothriidea; Diphyllobothriidae
Rfam family: tRNA
About the family: Transfer RNA (tRNA) molecules are approximately 80 nucleotides in length.
Source: Rfam by way of RNAcentral